GACGAACGCUGGCGGCGUGCUUAACACAUGCAAGUCGAACGAAGAGCGAUGGAAGCUUGCUUCUAUCAAUCUUAGUGGCGAACGGGUGAGUAACGCGUAAUCAACCUUCCCUUCAGAGGGGGACAACAGUUGGAAACGACUGCUUAUACCGCAUACGAUCUAACCUCGGCAUCGAGGAUAGAUGAAAGGUGUCCUCUACAUGUAAGCUCUCACUGAAAGAGGGGAUUGCGUCUGAUUAGCUAGUUGGAGGGGUAACGGCCCACCAAGGCGAUGAUCAGUAGCCGGUCUGAGAGGAUGAACGGCCACAUUGGGACUGAGAAAAGGCCCAGACUCCUACGGGAGGCAGCAGUGGGGAAUCUUCCGCAAUGGACGAAAGUCUGACGGAGCAACGCCGCGUGAGUGAUGACGGCCUUCGGGUUGGAAAGCUCUGUUAAUCGGGACGAAAGGCCUUCUUGCGAAUAGUGAGAAGGAUUGACGGUACCGGAAUAGAAAGCAACGGCUAACUACGUG
Molecule: ribosomal RNA, 510 nt
Filed under: uncultured bacterium
Lineage: Bacteria
Description: partial 16S ribosomal RNA
Rfam family: Bacterial small subunit ribosomal RNA
Source: RNAcentral